AGAGUGAACGCUGGCGGUAGGCCUAACACAUGCAAGUCGAACGGCAGCACAGUAGGAGCUUGCUCUUACGGGUGGCGAGUGGCGGACGGGUGAGGAAUACAUCGGAAUCUACCUUUUGGUGGGGGAUAACGUAGGGAAACUUACGCUAAUACCGCAUACGCCCUUCGGGGGAAAGCCGGGGACCAGCAAUGGCCUGGUGCUGAUAGAUGAGCCGAUGUCGGAUUAGCUAGUUGGUGAGGUAAUGGCUCACCAAGGCGACGAUCCGUAGCUGGUCUGAGAGGAUGAUCAGCCACACUGGAACUGAAGACACGGCCCAGACUCCGUACGGGAGCAG
This 334-nucleotide ribosomal RNA is filed under the name uncultured soil bacterium. RNAcentral's name for it is "bacterial SSU rRNA". It matches the Rfam family "Bacterial small subunit ribosomal RNA", at positions 26 to 351 of the family's 1533-position model. The record is from RNAcentral.